AUUUAUAUAGCUUAAACUAAAGCAUUUGUUUUACACAUAAAAUAUAGUAUCAUACUUAUAAAUA
This 64-nucleotide transfer RNA is filed under the name Megalobenedenia derzhavini. Its description in RNAcentral is "tRNA-Val". It matches the Rfam family "tRNA". From Rfam's summary of the family: Transfer RNA (tRNA) molecules are approximately 80 nucleotides in length. The record is from RNAcentral. Lineage: Eukaryota; Metazoa; Platyhelminthes; Monogenea; Capsalidea; Capsalidae.